AGAUGGCGACCGGCGCACGGGUGAGUAACACGUAUCCAACCUGCCGAUAACUCGGGGAUAGCCUUUCGAAAGAAAGAUUAAUACCCGAUGGCAUAAUAGAACCGCAUGGUUUGAUUAUUAAAGAAUUUCGGUUAUCGAUGGGGAUGCGUUCCAUUAGGCAGUUGGUAGGGUAACGGCCCACCAAACCUUCGAUGGAUAGGGGUUCUGAGAGGAAGGUCCCCCACAUUGGAACUGAGACACGGUCCAA
RNAcentral lists this ribosomal RNA (247 nucleotides) under uncultured bacterium. Its description in RNAcentral is "partial 16S ribosomal RNA". It matches the Rfam family "Bacterial small subunit ribosomal RNA", at positions 86 to 334 of the family's 1533-position model. The record is from RNAcentral.